This 709-nucleotide ribosomal RNA is filed under the name Sclerospora graminicola. RNAcentral describes it as "LSU rRNA". It matches the Rfam family "Eukaryotic large subunit ribosomal RNA", at positions 81 to 630 of the family's 3401-position model. The record is from RNAcentral. Lineage: Eukaryota; Oomycota; Peronosporomycetes; Peronosporales; Peronosporaceae.
UAGUAACGGCGAGUGAAGCGGGAUGAGCUCAAGCUUAAAAUCUCCAUACAAAUUUUGUAUGGCGAAUUGUAGUCUAUAGAGGCGUGAUCAGUGUGGCAACUUGGGAUAAGUUCCUUGGAAGAGGACAGCAUCGAGGGUGAUACUCCCGUUCAUUCUUGAGUUGCUUAUGCGUACGAUCCGUUUUCUUUGAGUCGCGUUGUUUGAGAAUGCAGCGCAAAGUAGGUGGUAAAUUCCAUCUAAAGCUAAAUAUUGGUGCGAGACCGAUAGCAUACAAGUACCGUGAGGGAAAGAUGAAAAGAACUUUGAAAAGAGAGUUAAAGAGUACCUGAAACUGCUGAAAGGUAACCGAAUCGUUUCCAGUGUCUAUAAUCUGCGAUAUAUUUCAUCGGCGAAUGUGUGCGUGCGUGUACUAUGGCAGCGGCUUUUUGGCUGCGCUUGGUAUGUGUGCUGUGCUUCCUUGCUGGUGCCCUGUAUUGUGGUGGGACGCCAAUGUCAGUUCGUAAACCGCGGGAAAUGACUACCGAGGAGGUAAGGCUUACGCUUGCGUUUGUCUGUUAUAUCUUGGUGGACGAGUAGUUGUGGUUGGGACUGAGGUGCCUACAACGUGCUUUUGAGUGGGACUGCGUCUCCGUGUGCGCCGUGUGCGGAUAGCUUGCUAUAUGCGUGUGGUUGUGUAUGGAUUGAUGCGGACUUUAACUUGUUGCCGUUC